GUUAUUUUGGCAGAGUAGUGCGAUUGAUUUAGAAUCAUUGUAUGUAAUUAUAUUUACAAGUAAUAC
This 66-nucleotide transfer RNA is filed under the name Oberea diversipes. RNAcentral's name for it is "tRNA-Leu". It matches the Rfam family "tRNA". Rfam says of the family: Transfer RNA (tRNA) molecules are approximately 80 nucleotides in length. Their secondary structure includes four short double-helical elements and three loops (D, anti-codon, and T loops). Further hydrogen bonds mediate the characteristic L-shaped molecular structure. tRNAs have two regions of fundamental functional importance: the anti-codon, which is responsible for specific mRNA codon recognition, and the 3' end, to which the tRNAs corresponding amino acid is attached (by aminoacyl-tRNA synthetases). tRNAs cope with the degeneracy of the genetic code in two manners: having more than one tRNA (with a specific anti-codon) for a particular amino acid; and 'wobble' base-pairing, i.e. permitting non-standard base-pairing at the 3rd anti-codon position. The record is from RNAcentral. Lineage: Eukaryota; Metazoa; Arthropoda; Insecta; Coleoptera; Cerambycidae.